CCAUACCAGCCGGGGAUUUAGCGGAGCCCUGCACCUGAAAUCCGCUACAGCAGGGGUGGAUCCCUCUUCUGAGGGCCGAGCCUUUACGGCCUGAGCCGUAUUCUGCUGUGAUGACGAGUGGGUCUCGCGCAAUCGGGAGCUGUGAACCAUGUCAGGUGGGGAACCAAGCAGCAUUAAGCGGUGAACCUGAUGUGCCGCGAGGGCGCCUGCUCUGAGCAGGAGAUACGGAGAU
This 232-nucleotide signal recognition particle RNA is filed under the name Clostridia bacterium. RNAcentral describes it as "partial signal recognition particle sRNA large type". It matches the Rfam family "Bacterial large signal recognition particle RNA", at positions 1 to 227 of the family's 256-position model. Rfam says of the family: The signal recognition particle (SRP) is a universally conserved ribonucleoprotein involved in the co-translational targeting of proteins to membranes. Archaeal SRP consists of a 7S RNA and homologues of the eukaryotic SRP19 and SRP54 proteins. Lineage: Bacteria; Bacillati; Bacillota; Clostridia. The record is from RNAcentral.